Molecule: long non-coding RNA, 487 nt
Organism: Monopterus albus (swamp eel)
Lineage: Eukaryota; Metazoa; Chordata; Actinopteri; Synbranchiformes; Synbranchidae
Exons: 2
Source: RefSeq, a predicted model, not a curated record
CCUGCAGUUCUGCAGGAAUAGUACAAUAGCAGCUAAAAGACAGGUUGAGUCAUGUUGUACAGUUUGGUUUGGGUUCUUUUUACACAGCAACAUCCUGGGAUUCACAGAGCAGUUGGUUGCAUGCUGUUUUCAAAAAGUUGCUUCUUGUUCUUUUUUUGAAAGUCAGAGAAUAAAGUCAAAUGAAAAAUUGAUGAGUACAAAUGUGCAGCAUAUGUAUUUGAAUUGAUGGCCUUUGCCUUUUGGUUUUAGAGUUAAUAUGUGUCAAGGCAGUGAUAAAAGUUGUGAUUCCUUCUCUCUGUGUUAGAAUCCUUCAAAACCAGCAGCUGGCCACUGAGAUCGAUAUGGAAGCGUUGGGAAGGCUGCUGCCUGCAGAGAUACUAACACUUCUGGAGGACCAGUACCUGAACACACAACAGGUUGAGCUGGAGACUUACAUCGGCCGUGUCCUGGAGGAAACAGAGGAAAAGUGGAAGAAAGGAGAGGAACC